CAAAACGUAGCUUAAAAAAAGUACCUAAUUUACACUUAGGAGAUUUCAUGGAAAUGAACGUUUUGA
This 66-nucleotide transfer RNA is filed under the name Camelus knoblochi. Its description in RNAcentral is "tRNA-Val". The record is from RNAcentral. Lineage: Eukaryota; Metazoa; Chordata; Mammalia; Artiodactyla; Camelidae.